Molecule: ribosomal RNA, 417 nt
Filed under: uncultured bacterium
Lineage: Bacteria
Description: bacterial SSU rRNA
Rfam family: Bacterial small subunit ribosomal RNA
Source: RNAcentral
GGGCCCGCACAAGCGGUGGAGCAUGUGGUUUAAUUCGACGCAACGCGAAGAACCUUACCUGGGCUUGAACUGUUUGGGCUAUCCCUAGAAACAGGGAGUUCCCUUCGGGGACUCAAGCAGAGGUGCUGCAUGGCUGUCGUCAGCUCGUGUCGUGAGAUGUUGGGUUAAGUCCCGCAACGAGCGCAACCCUCGUCCUGUGUUGCCAUUUUGGGACUCACAGGAGACCGCCAGCGACAAGUUGGAGGAAGGUGGGGACGACGUCAAGUCAUCAUGGCCUUUAUGUCCAGGGCUACACACGUGCUACAAUGGGUGGUACAACGGGUCGCGAAGCCGCGAGGCGGAGCUAAUCCCUAAAAGCCAUCCUCAGUUCGGAUUGCAGGCUGCAACUCGCCUGCAUGAAGUUGGAAUCGCUAGUAA